Molecule: ribosomal RNA, 2868 nt
Filed under: Magnusiomyces paraingens
Lineage: Eukaryota; Fungi; Ascomycota; Dipodascomycetes; Dipodascales; Dipodascaceae
Description: Saprochaete ingens large subunit ribosomal RNA
Rfam family: Bacterial large subunit ribosomal RNA
Source: RNAcentral
UAAAUAUAAUAUAAUAUAAUAAAAUAAAUAUAAAAUAUAUAAGUAAUAAGAAAUGAUAUGAAAUGAAUCAUUUAGUAUGUAAGAUAUAAUUGAGGAGAAUAAAAGUUAUAUUAUAAAAAUAUGGAUAAUAGAAAAAAGAAAAGAUUCCAUAGGUGAAAACCAAAAAAAGAACUAAAUGAACUGAAACAUCUAAGUAAUUUAAGGAAAAGAAAUUAACAAAGAUUUAUAGAGUAGUGGUGAGCGAAAUAUAAAAAGUCUAUAAAGUAAUAUGUAAUAAAGAUAAUAUGUAUGAAAAAGGUGAAACUAUCACUAAGACUAAAUAUUAUAAUAUAAACAAAAAUAGUACCGUGAGGGAAAAUUCGAAAUCAGUGAUAUUAUGAGCAUAAUAAAAUAUAAAAAAAUAUAUAAUUAGCACCUCUUGUAUAAUGGGUUAGCAAGUAUAUAUUAAUAGCAAGAAAUAAAAAUCUUAGUGAAAUCAAAAUAUAUAACAAUAAAAAAAAGUUAAAUAUUAUUAUAUUAAUAAUAUAAAAAUUUUAAUAGUUAUUAGUAUAUGACCCGAAAGUCCAUGAUCUUAUCAUUAUUAAGUGUAAUAAUAAACGACUGAACUGGUUAGUGUUGCAAUACUAUCAGAUAAAUGGUGAUAAGUAGUGAAAUAUCAACCAUAUGGACAGUUAGCUGGUUUACCACGAAAUAUAUGUAAGUAUAGCCAUAUAUAUAAAAUAAUUAAAAAGAAAUAAAAAGUAUAGCACUUAACACUGUUUUAUUAUAAUUAAAAAUAAUAAUGAAUUAUAUGGGGGAAUGUAAAAUUUUUAUCAUCGGUGUUUAAUCUCAGAAAUAAUAAUAUAUAAAUAUAUGAGUCAGACAAUUUGUGAUAAGAUAAAUAGUCAAUAGGGAAACAGCCCAACACAAGUAUUAAGGUCCCAAAUAAAAUAAUAAGUGAAUAAAAGAUAAAAAUAAUAUAAUACAAUUAGUUAGUUGGUUUGAUAGUAACUAUCUUUUAAUAAAAGUGUAAUAACUUACUAAUAUAUAUAAAAUAUUAUUAAUAUCAUAAAUUUAACGGGUCUAAAUUAUUUAACCAAUAACUUGUCAUUAAUUAAUAUUAAUUAAUAUUAAUUAAUGGAUAGUGGUACAUUUAAUGAAAUAAUUAAUAAUAUAAAAUAAAAUAAUAAUUAUAAAUAAAAUAAAAAUAAUUAAAUAGAGAAUGCUAACAUGAGUAACGAAAAUAAGGUUAAAUCCUUAUCAUCUAAUACAUAAGGUAUUACUAUUAAAUCGGUCCUUAAGUUAUAUAAGAAUAUAAAUAUAAUAAUAAUAGGUAUAUAAAUUAAAUAAAAAAUGAUUAUAUAAAUUAUGAAAAAAUCAUAAUAUAAUGUAUAUAAUACAGGAAAAUAAAUAAAACCGUAAUGUAAACCGACACAGGUAUGUAUAGUAGAAAAUAUGAAGAUGAAUGAGAGAAUUAUGGUUAAUGAACUAGGCAAAAAUAAUUCUAAAUGUUAGUCAAAACGGAAUAUUAUAUAUUAAUAAUAUAUAAUCACAGAAAUAAAAUAGCACAACUGUUUACUAAAAACACAGCACUAUGCAAAAAUAUUAAUAAUAGUAUAUAGUGUGAACUCUGCUCAAUUGUAGUAAAUAAUAUAUAAUAUGAUUAAGUAUUAUAUUUAAUAGCUAUAAAAUAGCGGUCUUAACGUGAGGAUCAUAAUGUAGCGAAAUUCCUUGUCCGCUAAAUACGGUCCUGCAUGAAUGACGUAAUGAUGCUAUAACUGUAUCAACCAUAAACUCAGUGAAAUUGGAAUCGCGGUGAAGAUACCGUGUACCUAUAGAAUGACAGAAAGACCCUAUGCAACUUUACUAUAUAUAGAAAGAUUGAUAUAUUAAAUAAAAAUUCAGGACUCCGAAAAAUGAAAAUUUUAAUUUAUAAAAUUUUUUCUCGGUUUAACCGGGUAGGAUUAUUAGGUAUUAUAUUAAUAAAAUGAUGAGAAACCUAAAAUUUAUAUUUAUAUAUCUAAACAUUAAUAAUAUUAAUUGAUAAAAUCUUAAUAUAUAAAAUGUGACAAUCUCUAUAUGAUAGUUUGUGUGGGGCGCACAUUUCAGCAAAAGUAUCUGAAUAUGUCCAGAUUAUAUAAAAUUUAAUAAUAUUAAUUUAAUUAAUAAUAAUAUAGUUUAAUACUAUAUAAAUAAUAUAAUAGAUCCAAUAUUUAUAAAUAUUGGAUUAAAUAAUAGAAUAAAAGAUAUGUGAUAUAAUUGAUCUAGAAAUCAAUUAAUAUAAAAAUAUUAAUUAAGUGUAAUAGCAUAAUCACAUAAUAAUUGUAACAUCUACAAAUGAAACAAGUACUUAAGUAUGGUAUAGUGAACAAUUGAUACUAAUUAGAAUAGUACAAUGAUAACGGAUAAAAGUUACGCUAGGGAUAACAGGCUAAUAUGGUGAAAGAGUACAAAUUGUAAACCAUGUUUGGCACCUCGAUGUCGACUCAACCCAUCCUACUGGUGCAGUAGCUAGUAAGGGUUAGACUGUUCGUCUAUUAAAGGGUUACGUGAGUUGGGUUAAAUACGUCAUGAGACAGUAUGGUUCUUAUCAUCUAUAGGUGUAUAUCAAAUUAAAACUUAUAUUUAGUACGAAAGGAUUAAUAUAAAUCAAUCAAUGGUAAAUUUAUUGAUUAUAAUAAUUAAAAAAAAAUUCAUUAUAUUUAUAAUCACAGUAAAGUAGCUAAAUUGAUAAAAGAUAAAAACUGAUAGCAUAUCAAGUUUGAAUCGGUUUUAAAAAAAGAUAUAAAUAAUAAGUUAUAGAUAAUAACUGAAUAUCAAUAUUUAUUGAUAUAAUUAGAUAUAAAUUGUAUAUUAAAUUAUAUAUAUCUAAUAUUAAUAAAACUAAAU